GUAAGUUCUUCCAUUGUUGCAUCAACUGCAUUUCACUGUGAGGUGUGACCACCAACAGCAGAAAAAGGAAUCUGGAAAAACUCAUGGAAGGCAGCAGUGGCAGCUCUUGUAACCCUCCAGCAGGCAAAGCAGCAAUAUCAGAGUUGGAAACACUGCAGAAACAGUACGAGGAGAAACGAGUGAAGAUCCAAGAGCUCCAUAAACAAAUCGAAAUCGCAAAGCUUCUAUUGGAGGAGGAGAAGAAGAAGUAGGAAAUACCAGAUGAGAAAAAAAAGAAGCUUUCAAUGAACUGUGCCGGAAAUACACCAGUCUGAGAGAGGAAUAUAUUGCACUGUC
Molecule: long non-coding RNA, 336 nt
Organism: Hibiscus syriacus
Lineage: Eukaryota; Viridiplantae; Streptophyta; Magnoliopsida; Malvales; Malvaceae
Exons: 3
Source: RefSeq, a predicted model, not a curated record